UCAGACGAUGCGUCAUGCAUAUCAAUAAGCGGAGGAAAAGAAACUAACAAGGAUUCCCUCAGUAACGGCGAGUGAAGCGGGAAGAGCUCAAAUUUGAAAUCUUGAAAGGUCACCUUUCACGAAUUGUAGUUUAAAGAAGUGUUUUCUGUUACGAUCGUAAUAUAAGUUCUUUGGAAUAGGACAUCACAGAGGGUGAGAAUCCCGUCUAUGAUUGCGAUUUGUAGCUUUGUGAUACACUUUCAAAGAGUCGGGCUGUUUGGGAAUGCAGCCCAAAACGGGAGGUAAAUUUCUUCUAAGGCUAAAUAUUGGCGAGAGACCGAUAGCGAACAAGUACCGUGAGGGAAAGAUGAAAAGAACUUUGAAAAGAGAGUUAAAUAGUACGUGAAAUUGUCAAAAGGGAAGCGUUUAACACCAGUGUUGUUUUCUCGAAAAUCAAUUAAAAAGAGUUAGAUUUUGUUGUGUAUUGACCUUAACAGCUUGCAUUUCAAUUUUCUUGCUUUUUUUAAUGCACUUUUCGUUUAACAAGUCAACAUCAGUUUCUUUUGUUGUAAAAAGGUCAUUGGAAGGUGGCUUUCUUUUCGGAGAAAGUGUUUAUAGCCUUUGACUCCUGCAAUCGGAGAGACUGAGGUCUGCAGCGUAGAUCCUUCGGGGUUAGAUACAUUUGUGCUAAGUUAUAGCUUUUUAUAGACAACUUGUUGACUAUGAUUAGUCUUGUAGCUUACUCGCUUAUGCUAUUUUACCUACGCUUAGGAUGUUGAUCUGUAGUGCGUGCGC
This 774-nucleotide ribosomal RNA is filed under the name uncultured Neocallimastigales. RNAcentral's name for it is "partial large subunit ribosomal RNA". It matches the Rfam family "Eukaryotic large subunit ribosomal RNA", at positions 18 to 635 of the family's 3401-position model. The record is from RNAcentral. Lineage: Eukaryota; Fungi; Neocallimastigomycota; Neocallimastigomycetes; Neocallimastigales.